Molecule: long non-coding RNA, 277 nt
Organism: Clupea harengus (Atlantic herring)
Lineage: Eukaryota; Metazoa; Chordata; Actinopteri; Clupeiformes; Clupeidae
Source: RefSeq, a predicted model, not a curated record
AGAGAAGACUUCCUUCUUCAAGAAAAUUUGCUUGGAGAUUCAUGUUGGUCUGGACAAGCCUGUUCCAGACUAAUUGUGACCUCUAUGCAAAUAAGUCUUCCCUUUUAAAUAAGUAAAAAAGAAGACUUCCUUUAUCAAGAUCUCCUUUAUCAAGACCUCCUUUAUCAAGACUUCCCACAUCAAGACCUCCCACAUCAAGACUUGGCGACCUCUUAUGUGUUUGGCGACCUCUUAUGUGUUUGGCGACCUCAUAUUCUUGGCGACCUUUUAUGUUCUU